AACGAACGCUGGCGGCAUGCCUAACACAUGCAAGUCGAACGAGACCGUCGGGUCUAGUGGCGCACGGGGGCGUAACGCGGGGGAACCUGCCCGUAGGUUCGGAAUAACUCACCGAAAGGGGUGCUAAUACCGGUUAAUGUCUUCGGACCAAAGAUUUAUGGCCGUUGGAUGGGCGCGCGUUGGAUUAGCUGGUUGGUAGGGGAAAAGCGUACCAAGGCGACGAUGCAUAGCUGGUCUGAGAGGAUGGUCAGCCAGACUGGGACUGAGACACGGACCAGUAUCCUACGGGAGGCAGCAGUGGAGAAUAUUGGACAAUGAGCGCAAGUCUGAUACAGCAAUGCCGCGUGAGUGAUGAAGGCCUUAGUGUUCUAAAUCUGUUUUUCCCGAGACGAUAAUGACAGUACCGGGAGAAUAAGCUCCGGCUAACUACGUG
This 433-nucleotide ribosomal RNA is filed under the name uncultured bacterium. RNAcentral's name for it is "partial 16S ribosomal RNA". It matches the Rfam family "Bacterial small subunit ribosomal RNA", at positions 29 to 507 of the family's 1533-position model. The record is from RNAcentral.